This 313-nucleotide long non-coding RNA is filed under the name Androctonus crassicauda. Lineage: Eukaryota; Metazoa; Arthropoda; Arachnida; Scorpiones; Buthidae. The record is from RNAcentral.
UGUGGUUGAUGGGGUGUUUUCCACUUGUCUUUUUGGCUGGGGUCUCUACUGCCUCCGCCAUUUUCAUCUUCUCGGGGUCCUUAUCACUUUGGUGUUCUUUGCUUCAUGCCAUUUCGGUGUCGCAUCGUACGCAUUGGGUCUUUGUGCUGGGGCCGUUGUUGUUAUUUGUUUUUCUCUGUCUGCCUUGUGUUCUUGUACCCUUUUGUUUGCCGAUCUCGCUGUUGAUCCUCUGUAGAUUUCUUCCCUGUUGGUGUCUUUAUCUAUUUUAAGUUCUUAUAUCCCUGGCAUGUCUAACAUGUUUCUUCGAUCUUUA